UGAAUUUUCUCAAUAUCUGAAUGACCC
Molecule: non-coding RNA, 27 nt
Filed under: Mus musculus (house mouse)
Lineage: Eukaryota; Metazoa; Chordata; Mammalia; Rodentia; Muridae
Source: RNAcentral